Molecule: transfer RNA, 70 nt
Filed under: Dolichorhinotermes tenebrosus
Lineage: Eukaryota; Metazoa; Arthropoda; Insecta; Blattodea; Rhinotermitidae
Description: tRNA-Ile
Source: RNAcentral
AAUGAUGAGCCUGAACUAAAGGGAUAUCGUGAUAGGAUAUAUCAUGUGGGAUCCUACCCCACCUUCAUUA